Molecule: ribosomal RNA, 469 nt
Filed under: uncultured bacterium
Lineage: Bacteria
Description: SSU rRNA
Rfam family: Bacterial small subunit ribosomal RNA
Source: RNAcentral
AGAACGAACGCUGGCGGCAUGCCUAACACAUGCAGGUCGAACGAGACCUUCGGGUCUAGUGGCGCACGGGUGCGUAACGCGUGGGAAUCUGCCCUUGGGUACGGAAUAACAGUUAGAAAUGACUGCUAAUACCGUAUAAUGACUUCGGUCCAAAGAUUUAUCGCCCAGGGAUGAGCCCGCGUAGGAUUAGCUUGUUGGUGAGGUAAAGGCUCACCAAGGCGACGAUCCUUAGCUGGUCUGAGAGGAUGAUCAGCCACACUGGGACUGAGACACGGCCCAGACUCCUACGGGAGGCAGCAGUGGGAAUAUUGGACAAUGGGCGCAAGCCUGAUCCAGCCAUGCCGCGUGCAGGAUGAAGGCCUUCGGGUUGUAAACUGCUUUUGUACGGAACGAAAAGGUUCUUUCUAAUAAAGAGAGCUCAUGACGGUACCGUAAGAAUAAGCACGGCUAACUACGUGCCAGCAGCCGC